ACGAACGCUGGCGGCGCGCCUAAUACAUGCAAGUCGAGCGAGAAGACGUAGCAAUACGUUUGUAAAGCGGCGAACGGGUGAGGAAUACAUGGGUAACCUACCCUCGAGUGGGGAAUAACUAGCCGAAAGGUUAGCUAAUACCGCGUACGCUCCUUGGACUUCGGUUCAGGGAGGAAAGCGAUACCGUGGGUAUCGCGCUCUU
This 202-nucleotide ribosomal RNA is filed under the name uncultured bacterium. RNAcentral describes it as "partial 16S ribosomal RNA". It matches the Rfam family "Bacterial small subunit ribosomal RNA", at positions 29 to 222 of the family's 1533-position model. The record is from RNAcentral.